AAACUCCUGGCAGGGAGAAUGAGCGCAGCUGAUGAACCUGACCAGAAAACUGCUGCUAUGGAACUGUCAGCUGGGUCUGCUAUUUGUAUUGUGGCCAGAGAAGGUCUUUACCUAGUGUCCUAAAAUGG
Long non-coding RNA from Sphaerodactylus townsendi, 128 nucleotides. RefSeq lists it as uncharacterized. The transcript has 3 exons. The record is from RefSeq and is a predicted model, not a curated record. NCBI's taxonomy places the organism in Eukaryota, Metazoa, Chordata, Lepidosauria, Squamata, Sphaerodactylidae.